GGUACGAUGCGGCUUCAUACCCUUAGAGGUAUGAAGGCAGAGGACAUAUGCAUUGCAUUCAUAUGCAUUCAUUGAAGUGAUAUUUGCAGAUGAUGUGGUUUUAUACCCCCAGAGGUAUGAAGAUAGAGUACCUACACAUUGCAUUCCUAUGCAUACAUUGAAGUGAUAUUUGCAGGUAUUGUUGACGCAGGGAAGUGUUAUAGAACCUAUUGUGGUUGUUCGAGGAAAUGAGAUGGUAUUGGUUAUAGUGGGACUACUGAGUUCUAUAUCUACAAGUAUUUCUGAUUUUUUUUAUUGUUGUGACUCUUUUAAAAUGUUGAUGAAUUCAAUUUGUGGUUUAGAUAUCUCGUCAGAACAAUUAGCUUGCUGAGAUGUUUCAUCUCACUCUUGCAUUACUCAAUGCAGGUGCUUGUUGCUCAUCAAGGGGAGUGGGAAGUAGCAGCACAUCCACCUUCACUCUCAUAAUAAUGCAACCCAGACACAGCCAUGAUUUAGUUAGAAACUUCUUGUCAAAGGAUGUUUGUUUUUAACUAGUCGUGCACACUGAUUAAUUCAGUUCAUUGUUGUUAUGGUUGUCUUCCCAUUGCUAGCAGAUUCUUAAUGUCUUAUAUGUUUUCUUAUCAUGAUAUCUAUUUAUACUUUGUUGCUUCCCCCGUUUAUGCAAUUUUCAAAGGAGAUGCUGUCGAAAUUUUAUAUAUGAAUGUUAGAUGUGUAGUUUAGUAGCAUCCUGGGGUGUUUGUGGAUCCCGGGGUGUUACAGUUGGUAUCAAAGCAUAGGCUUUAGAUUCUUGGCAAUUUGAAGAUAAAUUUGACACACUUGCACAUAUAGGAAGGGUAUGGGUUCAAAUAUCUUUGAUAUAUAUUAAUGUCUUUGGAGUGCAGAUGACAAUAGUUUCACCCCUCCCUAUUCCUUUACGGUGAUGUGGUAAGUUGUUUAUGGCUUAAUGCUUGAUAUAAUUUAUUUCUGAAAUUUUGAUAUUGUUUUAUUAAUGCGGUAGGUAUCGCUGGUCAUUGGUGAGAAUGAAGUUGUUAUUAUGCUUGUGAUAUACAAGUAUGCCUAUGUUGUUUUCACCAUGUUUUUCAUGGUUGAGUUUUAUUACAAUAAUAUUGUUAUAUAUGCUUGAUUGUGGAUGUUUCUAAGAGGAGUGUGAAUUGCGUGUUUUGGGGUACAAGGUAAUCAUCAAUUUGAAUUUAAGUUGUUGAGCGGUUGGUGGAUAGCUCCAACUAUCAUUGCAAAGAAUGAUUGUUUAUGUUGAGAAACCAGUUUUGAAAGAAAUGAAUAUUGGUACUUUAUAUGGAUUUUUGGGGGAAGUCUUUUCAUAGCCAGAAUGGCUUACAUGUCUCUCUCAUAUUGUGUGUUCUAGUUGCCACAAAGCCUAGAUGUGGUUUAAAGUGGUUGCCUGUUAGUCAUACUAAUUGUAGAAUAAAUCUUUGAUUCUCUUGAUCCAUUGAUUAUGUAUUGAUACAUUGAGGAUCUGAUGGUUCCCUUUUCGAUGCAUGCUUGUGGAGCCAUUUUUUUAGACCACCUAUCUAUUGGUUUGAAGGAAGUCCUUGCCUAGCCUAGAGUUGGUUGGGUGUGGCUAGUCACCUACUCCUAGAUGAUGUGGUGUUUACAUCAGCUUAAUAUGUUUGUCAAAUGUGUGAAGGAUUAGGGGUUAUUAUUAUUGACUUUGUAUGUCUGGUACUUUGAGUGCAUCGUAUGAUAGAAUGAAAUGUAAGUUUCUGAACUACAGUAGAUGAAGACUUAUAUUAUGUGUAGGUUAUCCUUACUAGUUGGAUAUUUUUCUUAGUUGAGAUGUUGAAUGAAGUAUAGUGACAUGGGUUAAGCAAGUAUUGUGUUGUUGUUGGGCUAUCAGUGCUCUAUGUAGAGUUUUUUGGCAUUUCUUCGAAAAACUAUGCCGCACAAGAUGUUAUUGGCUUCUUUUGGCUUUAUUGCUCCAUUAGUUCUAUAGAUUUUCUCCCUUUUGGUGGGGUGCAAGGAAUGUUAGAUUACAUGAUUAUCUUUUCAUGAUGGCAAGAAUAAGGUUUAGGAAGAUUAGGAGUUUUGUUCCAAUGGAACUACUUGUUUCAUGAUGCUUUAAGGUGAGGUGUUUGAUCUUCUUAUACAUUCGUCGGGUGUAGAUGUUUCACCAUUUAAUUAAAAUUAAUGGUUGAAGUUGGUAAGGGUUGUGCUUGGUCCAUAUUACCCCUUCAUAAAAGAGUGUUGUCUUAAGACAUUGAUGUUGAUGUAUAGCUGCAUCCAAAUUUGAUGGUGUGAAAUUGUAGUGUUGAUUGCAACUAUGACAUGCUUUGAGCUUCAUUACAUGUUGUUUCAUGCUUGAUGUCAGGUCGUGUAGUUUCCUUAGACAAUUAGUCCAAGGUAGAAGUUCUUGUGUUAAUUAAGACCAAUAAUUGAUCCAUGUUUUGAAUUGUGGUGCUAUAUGGGGUACCUUGGGUGUUUUGCUUGGAGUGGCCGAAUUCGAGGUCGAAUUCUUUUUAAGGGGGGUAGAGUGUAAUAUCCCAAAAAAAUGUUGACCAAAAGUUAAUCUCUGGUGCGUGGAUGAGGUAAAGGGUUGUGGGCCAUUGGAUGCAAAGAUAGAAGUCAUCUGAGGCGUCGUUUCUUUCUCCCACAAAAACCCUAGGUGGCCACCCCUUUUUUUCCCUUCACCCCCCCCCCCUCUUGGCCGCCACCCCCUUUUCUCCCCCUUGGCUGGACGCCCCCUCCCCCUAUGGCAGCCAUCAUCCAUUGCUUCCUCCCCCAAGAUCUUCCCCUACGCAGCAAGGAUCGAGAAAAGGAGGGGCACGUUGAAUUGAAGAGGAAGAGAGGAUCAAGGAGAUGUUCUUCCCCAUCUCUUCUUGAAGAUUUCUUGGGGAAACCCUAGGUAUGGAUGAGAUCCUUGUUCCUCCCUGUAAUUAUAGGCUUUUGGAGGUUGUGGAUCAUGGGAAUUGAAGGAUUAGAGGUUGGAUUUGAUGUGGGGUUAGGUUUUGAUCCCGAAUUUAGUUUUCUGCAGAAUGGCAGAUUCGACAGUUUCUGUUCAUGCCAGUUUUCCGUGGUCUUAGUGGCCUCAAAAAAAUGAAAAGUCUAUGUAUGAGUCGUAGAUGAUUUGUAGAUCUUUCCGUGGCCGCGAAGAACACCUCAAUCGGACAUCCGACCAGAAAGUUAUUGCAGUUUUACUAUAGCAGUUUUUCAGUCUCAUAAUUCUGUGCAGAAUCUGUUCUCUUAAGAUUUAGGAAAUUUUAUCAACAGAAUUAAACUGUGGGUUGGUAAAAGAAGUUGUAGAUAAUUUCAUAAGCUUUCCAGAUUGUUAAAGAGUGCAUUCAUAUGAUUUGUGAAACUCCAGUUAUGUUUGUUUUACUGUGGCUGUUCCUGUUUACCUGACAAAAAUGAGUGGGUCUGUUCACUGGUGGGUUUCAUCUAGUAAAUGGCCGAAUUGGCUCUUCCAACUAUGGAGACUUUUGUAGAGGGAUAACAGUUCUUACUUCCAGCAGAAUUUCAUAAUUUUUGGUUCAGUAGUUUGGGAGAUAUCGAAUUUUAAAGUUAACCAUACUGCUGUCUAAAACAGGUUCAGUCAGUUAUCUUGUUAGAUGUUUUAGAACUUGUAGAUGGCAGAAUUUAAUUAUCUAUUGAAUACUAAAGUUGUAGAGUAUUUUGUGUAGAUACUCCUAGAGUAUUUGUUUGAUAUCACUGCUGUUUUAAUUUUAAAGAUACAAAAUUAACAAACAGCGUUGUUGCUGUAUGGCAUGUGGUUCAGGGUGGGAGUCUUUCCACUGGGUCUUGGUUUCAAUUGUAGGAGUGUUUUGUUGAUUGAUGGCAAAUGUUUGUGAAAUAUUUGUACUAAGUUUUAUGCCCACUAGCAGGUGGCUACACUCCAGAUCAUGUCUAGUACAUUUCUUCUUCUUCGAUGAAGGCAAGUGAAUGUAGCGGUGGUUGCAUCCGUUCUGACCUGUUAUUUCUAUUGCCUACACUCUAAUAUUCAGAAGUAUCAGAUUCUUUCAUAAUUGGACUCUAUGGUGAUGCUUUACUUGCUUGCAUUAUACUGAUGCUCAAUCAUAUAUUGAUGAUGAUUAUGAUUUGAGUAUGACUCACGAGAUUAAUUCACAUAUCUGAAGGUAAAUGAAGUAUUAUUUGAGGUUGGUAUUGUAUCUGAAGGUAAAUGAAGUAUUAUUUGAGGUUUGUGUUGUAUCUGAAGGAAGUGAAGUUUAUUGAUAAAUGUAGCAUGCCAUAUACAUUGCAUGACUCAUUUGCAUAUGAAGUUUUGUCGUGACCUAUGGUCCGACCGUACCGGUACAACUUAGCAUCGUACGUUGCCCGAGAAGGGGUACGAUGCGGCUUCAUACCCUUAGAGGUAUGAAGGCAGAGGACAUAUGCAUUGCAUUCAUAUGCAUUCAUUGAAGUGAUAUUUGCAGAUGAUGUGGUUUUAUACCCCCAGAGGUAUGAAGAUAGAGUACCUACACAUUGCAUUCCUAUGCAUACAUUGAAGUGAUAUUUGCAGGUAUUGUUGACGCAGGGAAGUGUUAUAGAACCUAUUGUGGUUGUUCGAGGAAAUGAGAUGGUAUUGGUUAUAGUGGGACUACUGAGUUCUAUAUCUACAAGUAUUUCUGAUUUUUUUUAUUGUUGUGACUCUUUUAAAAUGUUGAUGAAUUCAAUUUGUGGUUUAGAUAUCUCGUCAGAACAAUUAGCUUGCUGAGAUGUUUCAUCUCACUCUUGCAUUACUCAAUGCAGGUGCUUGUUGCUCAUCAAGGGGAGUGGGAAGUAGCAGCACAUCCACCUUCACUCUCAUAAUAAUGCAACCCAGACACAGCCAUGAUUUAGUUAGAAACUUCUUGUCAAAGGAUGUUUGUUUUUAACUAGUCGUGCACACUGAUUAAUUCAGUUCAUUGUUGUUAUGGUUGUCUUCCCAUUGCUAGCAGAUUCUUAAUGUCUUAUAUGUUUUCUUAUCAUGAUAUCUAUUUAUACUUUGUUGCUUCCCCCGUUUAUGCAAUUUUCAAAGGAGAUGCUGUCGAAAUUUUAUAUAUGAAUGUUAGAUGUGUA
RNAcentral lists this long non-coding RNA (5010 nucleotides) under Zea mays. RNAcentral describes it as "long non-coding RNA (ZMAY_LNC000961)". The record is from RNAcentral. Lineage: Eukaryota; Viridiplantae; Streptophyta; Magnoliopsida; Poales; Poaceae.